RNAcentral lists this non-coding RNA (231 nucleotides) under Heyndrickxia sporothermodurans. Its description in RNAcentral is "Bacillus sporothermodurans T-box sequence". It matches the Rfam family "T-box leader". From Rfam's summary of the family: Uncharged tRNA acts as the effector for transcription antitermination of genes in the T-box leader family. Lineage: Bacteria; Bacillati; Bacillota; Bacilli; Caryophanales; Bacillaceae. The record is from RNAcentral.
AGUUUAACGUUGAUAAGGAAUAGUAAUGAUGUCCCCUUGAUUAAGAGAGUUGGCGGCCGGUGUAAGCCAACCAAGACCAUCAUGAACUCACCUUUGAGUUGCAAAUGUGAACAUCCAUCUUUAGGAUUAAGUAGUAUUUGCCGUUUUCCGCGUUAAGGAUGAAUGAAGUGAGUGGUGUUUACACUAAUUUGGGUGGUACCGCGGGAGAAAAUGUUACCUCUCGUCCCUUUA